This 775-nucleotide long non-coding RNA is filed under the name Nicotiana benthamiana. RNAcentral describes it as "long non-coding RNA (NBEN_LNC036910)". Lineage: Eukaryota; Viridiplantae; Streptophyta; Magnoliopsida; Solanales; Solanaceae. The record is from RNAcentral.
ACAUACAAAGCAUACAAUACUCAAAAUAAGGACAGAGUUACCCUCCUUCUUCGCGAUCGGAGAAGAUCGGCCUUCAAUCAACAGAGAAAACCCUAGGUCCAACACCGGAAACCCUAGGUUCUGAAACUCACGGAGUAAGGUCAUAGACACCGGAAAGUUACCCAAAGCGUCCAUCAAGCGAAGAAAAAGUCAUCGGAUAACACCAAAACUCUAGGUCCGAAAGUCGGAAAACCGUAGAAUUUGAAGAACUCGUCGGAACAAAAAUCAGAGAUGUCGGAAAAUCACCCAAAACAUCUACUGAUACAGGAUCAGAGCCUCAAACAGUCAGAAAAGUCCUGAUUAACCGAUUAACAUUCAUCGAAAAAAAAUAUACGAACAGUAUUUUUCUCAGAUAACCGAAGAAAAACUUCAGCGAAAGCUUCAUCAAGUAUCGAUAACACUUAACAUAGAAGGAUCGGAAGAUUUUCCCGCUCUGUACUAUGAAAACAUGAAGAUUUGAAGAUGAAAAUCAGAGAAGAUGAAGAUGAACAGGAAGCGUUACAACGAGAGAAUGGGAAGCUUCUGGAGAAAGCCAGAAGUCAGAUAACCGAAGAAAAACUUCAGUGAAAGCUUCAUCAAGUAUCGAUAACACGUAACAGAGAAGGAUCGGAAGAUUUUUCCGCUCUGAUACCAUGAAAACAUGAAGAUUUGAAGAUGAAAAUCAGAGAAGAUGAAGAUGAACAGGAAGCGUUACAGAGAGAGAAUGGGAAGCUUCUGGAGAAAGCCAGAAGAUGAA